This 397-nucleotide ribosomal RNA is filed under the name uncultured bacterium. RNAcentral's name for it is "bacterial SSU rRNA". It matches the Rfam family "Bacterial small subunit ribosomal RNA", at positions 362 to 776 of the family's 1533-position model. The record is from RNAcentral.
UAUUGCGCAAUGGAGGAAACUCUGACGCAGUGACGCCGCGUGCGUGAAGAAGUAUUUCGGUAUGUAAAGCUCUAUCAGCAGGGAAGAUAAUGACGGUACCUGACUAAGAAGCCCCGGCUGACUACGUGCCAGCAGCCGCGGUAAUACGUAGGGGGCAAGCGUUAUCCGGAUUUACUGGGUGUAAAGGGAGCGUAGGUGGCAGGGCAAGUCAGAUGUGAAAACCCGGGGCUCAACCCCGGGAGUGCAUUUGAAACUGUCCAGCUGGAGUGCAGGAGAGGUAAGCGGAAUUCCUAGUGUAGCGGUGAAAUGCAUAGAUAUUAGGAGGAACACCAGUGGCGAAGGCGGCUUACUGGACUGUAACUGACACUGAGGCUCGAAAGCGUGGGGAGCAAACAGG